UGCAGUGACAGGCUCCCGAGGUAGGUGAACUGCGAGGUGUGUGAGACCACAUGCAGGUUCUGGCGCUGAGAUGCCCAACUGCAGAUGAGCGUAUCGACAGCACUGCCCGAUUCCCUGAGAACUCUGCGAGGUGCAGUGCAGGUGGAUGCUGUGUGGGUUUAGUGAAUGGUUUCCAAGUAGUGUAAGACUUCAAGAAAAAUCUUGUGAGGCUCCAAGAAGGUGAAAUGAUUUUUAUUGAACAUCCAGUUGGGCAGCUACCUCUUGGAAUGAACAGCAAGUGCCUUGAACAAAGAGGUGUCUACUCAAGGAAAUGCCCAGGGCAAAGGAUGUGAUGGAUGUAGGGACUGCUGCAAGACCAGACUGUGACCAUUACAGAGAGUGUGAACAGCUGCAAGGAGCCUGUGACCAGGCAAGGUGUGAUCACUGUGGAGCCACCCAGCCUGCGACCAGAGCAUGAUGGGACGACUGUGGAGCCAC
Molecule: long non-coding RNA, 477 nt
Organism: Ochotona princeps (American pika)
Lineage: Eukaryota; Metazoa; Chordata; Mammalia; Lagomorpha; Ochotonidae
Exons: 3
Source: RefSeq, a predicted model, not a curated record